Molecule: ribosomal RNA, 463 nt
Filed under: uncultured bacterium
Lineage: Bacteria
Description: bacterial SSU rRNA
Rfam family: Bacterial small subunit ribosomal RNA
Source: RNAcentral
CCCAGACUCCUACGGGAGGCAGCAGUGAGGAAUAUUGGUCAAUGAGCGAGAGCCUGAACCAGCCAAGUCGCGUGAGGGAGUACUGCCCUAUGGGUUGUAAACCUCUUUUGUCGGGGAGCAAAAGCCGGACGUGUCCGGCUGUGAGAGUACCCGAAGAAAAAGCAUCGGCUAACUCCGUGCCAGCAGCCGCGGUAAUACGGAGGAUGCGAGCGUUAUCCGGAUUUAUUGGGUUUAAAGGGUGCGCAGGCGGAUUUUUAAGUCAGCGGUAAAAUCGUGGGGCUCAACCCCAUCCAGCCGUUGAAACUGGGGAUCUAGAGUGUGCGAGAGGUAUGCGGAAUGCGUGGUGUAGCGGUGAAAUGCAUAGAUAUCACGCAGAACCCCGAUUGCGAAGGCAGCAUACCGGUGCACAACUGACGCUCAGGCACGAAAGCGUGGGUAUCGAACAGGAUUAGAUACCCCAGUA